GACGAACGCUGGCGGCGUGCUUAACACAUGCAAGUCGAACGGUGAAGCGCCUUCCUUUUUGGUGGGUGUUGAUGAGUGGCGAACGGGUGAGUAACACGUGAGUAACCUUCUCCCUUCUUCUGGAUAACCGCAAGAAAGUGUGGCUAAUACGGGAUAUUCUGGGUCUGUCGCAUGAUGGGUCUGGGAAAGAUAUUGUUUCGGUUGUGGAUGGGCUCGCGGCCGAUCAGCUUGUUGGUGGGGUGAUGGCCUACCAAGGCAGCGAAGGCUAGCCGGCCUGAGAGGGUGGACGGUCAGAAUGGGACUGAGACACCGCCCACCCUCGUACGGGAGGCAGCAGGAGGGUACAUGGCGGAAUGAGCGCAAGCCGGAUGCAGCGACGCCGCGUGAGGGAGGGAGGCGUUCGGGUUGACAACCUCUUUCGCCAGGGAAGCAGGCCUGCCUAGGUUGUGGGUGGGUUGACGGUAGCUGGAUAAGAAGCGCCGGCUAACUACGU
Molecule: ribosomal RNA, 493 nt
Filed under: uncultured bacterium
Lineage: Bacteria
Description: partial 16S ribosomal RNA
Rfam family: Bacterial small subunit ribosomal RNA
Source: RNAcentral